Megalobrama amblycephala (Wuchang bream) is the source of this 880-nucleotide long non-coding RNA. RefSeq lists it as uncharacterized. Lineage: Eukaryota; Metazoa; Chordata; Actinopteri; Cypriniformes; Xenocyprididae. The record is from RefSeq and is a predicted model, not a curated record. The transcript has 4 exons.
GCAACCAGCUAGGCUCCGCCCACAAAAAACGUCAUCGCUGUUUGCAAACACCAAAUUGGUCUAUUGCAUCAUUUUUUACGCUGACCACCACGCCCAUAACUUCGUGCUGCUGGAGCGUGGACUUCUUCGUGUAAGACAGCAGUAAUGAACGCACGAAUUUCUUCGCGUAGGGCAUGUGAGACUGUGUUUGUGUGUUGGAUGGAGUAAUUUACACUGAGAUCAGGUGGAUGGUCACUCAAGGUUGCUUUACUGGGCCUGGGAGAAGACACAAGACUGGGACAAACAGGACCAAAAGGCUGAUCAGAAUACAGUGCAUCGAUGUUGCAUGAGAAGUCAGCAGGAUGAGCUAUGAGACUCUGCUGCUGAUGACACAGCUCUGCCCUGCAAUAUCAUGUGCACAAAUGCGAGCGACGCAACAGCCAAUGGUGACGCACUGCAAACACAAUACAGCUGAAGAGGAAGAAAGACGAAUGACUUUUGACUGCCGCCUCCUCUCUCUUCCUCUCACUGUUAAAGGGCAGACAUUCAGUGUGUUGCGCAGUGAGCGAGCUGGUGGGUGUUACUGAAGUUUGUGUGUGUGUGUGUGUGUGUGUGUGUCCGUGAAGUUGGGGAUUAUGUGUGUUUGACUGUCGCUGCUCGUCUGAAAGAGUCAGUUGAAACAGGUGCACCUGUGUUCCUUCACUGAAUAAUGAAUGAAUAACUGAAAGAGAAACACGAAGAACUGAGAAAUAAGGGGAAAAGAGGCUUUUGUGAGGGCUGGGUGUGUGAAUGUUGUAUGCACUGCAAAAAUAUUUUUAAGCAGGAUUUUUAUUUUGUUUUCCAACAGAAAUACAUCUAAACAUCCUUAAAACAAACUGAAAAAAAAUGUUGAAAGUAAGAG